UGGCUUUAUAGUCAAUAAUGACAUUAGACUGCAAUUCUAAAGGAGUAAAUAUUUACUAAGGCUU
Molecule: transfer RNA, 64 nt
Filed under: Sarcophaga ruficornis
Lineage: Eukaryota; Metazoa; Arthropoda; Insecta; Diptera; Sarcophagidae
Description: tRNA-Cys
Source: RNAcentral